This 253-nucleotide ribosomal RNA is filed under the name uncultured bacterium. RNAcentral describes it as "partial 16S ribosomal RNA". It matches the Rfam family "Bacterial small subunit ribosomal RNA", at positions 524 to 776 of the family's 1533-position model. The record is from RNAcentral.
UACGUAGGGGGCUAGCGUUGUCCGGAUUUAUUGGGCGUAAAGAGCGUAUAGGCGGCCAGGUAGGUCUGCUGUGAAAACUCGAGGCUCAACCUCGAGACGUCGGCGGAAACCAUCUGGCUAGAGUCCGGAAGAGGAGAGUGGAAUUCCUGGUGUAGCGGUGAAAUGCGCAGAUAUCAGGAAGAACACCCGUGGCGAAGGCGGCUCUCUGGGACGGUACUGACGCUGAGACGCGAAAGCGUGGGGAGCGAACAGG